This is a long non-coding RNA of Epinephelus moara (kelp grouper), 1187 nucleotides long. RefSeq lists it as uncharacterized. The transcript has 3 exons. The record is from RefSeq and is a predicted model, not a curated record. NCBI's taxonomy places the organism in Eukaryota, Metazoa, Chordata, Actinopteri, Perciformes, Serranidae.
AGUCGCAGCUUGCGUGUGUGAGGGAGAGGACACAUGCAAGUCUAUUGAGGCGUAGGACACUUUGUAGCUCCAAUAAUACUCUGCUAUUUCUUUUUUUUUAAUUUGCACUAUUCCCUUUAAUCGGGUGCGAUCAGACCACAGGCUCUGAUUAAACGGAAAAUCCGAGGCGGGAUUUGAAAUUGCUGGAGGAUAUCGACUGUAGUGGAGUGGAGUUAGCCUGAUGUGCAAGAAAAUGCCGACAACGUCAGCCCUGAAGUUUGCAUCAACUUUCAGUGAAGACAGAGUGCCACCAGACAAGAUGAGGAGCAGCUUGCAGAUGGAAACAAGGGUGGGUGGUUGGAAGGCUGGAUAAAGGCUGGUAGAUGACUGAACUCAGAGACCCGGCGCAGCUCAUCAUCAUUGCCACGGGCUCUCGUCUUCCUCCUCUCCUCCUGUGGCCCCGUACCUCCAUCCAGGGGUCCAGCAGAGCCAGCGAAGCCCAAGCGGGGAGCUAGUGAGUGGGCUGGGAAGGAUGGAGAAGGUCCCCGAAGGCGAGAAGCACCUCUGGAGCUACCAGCAUGCAGGAGAAAUCAAUACCAAACACAGAGCCUGCACAGCUCUGAGUGGGGUUUCCUGUGUUAGUCUGUGGCCUAGGGGCCCGCAGACCUCCAAAGGACAGGCCCUGCGUGGCCCUCUCAGCUGCAGCCCCGACUCCUUAGACUGGACCUCAGUCCCGAACUCCACUGGCUGUGUGUGGUUCUGCUGAAGGGGAUCACUCCCCAAAUAAUACCCAGAAUGCUGAGAGACCGCCAAGAGGGAUAUUCCUUUCUCUUGAUUUUUUCUCCCCUUCAUAAGAUUGACAUAUCCCCCACCUUCUGCCUCUGGCUGUUUAAAAACCAGUUUGGGAGUUCUGCUUUUGACUGGCUCUCCAUCCUCGACUCGCCCGUUGUUUAUUCCCCAAACAGUUUUUACAUUUGACAAAGAGACAGUACGAUCUUUAUUUUCUCCUCCACUCUUGGCUUGCUGUUACUAUGGUGAGCUGUCUGUUAAAACCAGAAACACUGGCACAUGAAGCAUGAUCUUUUUUUUUUUUUUUUACCUUCGUGAUGCCUGUUAUUCAAUUCCAGACUGUUUAAAAACACUGAACAGCAAAGAGGGCAGAAGAUCACAGAGCAAAGAGACCUUCCCACCUUGUAGUGGAGAUGGUA